GGCCGAGUAGCUCAGUUGGUAGAGCAGGGGAUUGAAAAUCCCCGUGUCGGCGGUUCGAUUCCGUCCUCGGCCAUCA
RNAcentral lists this transfer RNA (76 nucleotides) under Xanthomonas citri pv. fuscans. RNAcentral describes it as "Xanthomonas fuscans subsp. fuscans tRNA-Phe". It matches the Rfam family "tRNA". From Rfam's summary of the family: Transfer RNA (tRNA) molecules are approximately 80 nucleotides in length. Their secondary structure includes four short double-helical elements and three loops (D, anti-codon, and T loops). Lineage: Bacteria; Pseudomonadati; Pseudomonadota; Gammaproteobacteria; Lysobacterales; Lysobacteraceae. The record is from RNAcentral.